This 696-nucleotide ribosomal RNA is filed under the name uncultured bacterium. RNAcentral's name for it is "bacterial SSU rRNA". It matches the Rfam family "Bacterial small subunit ribosomal RNA", at positions 32 to 715 of the family's 1533-position model. The record is from RNAcentral.
AACGCUAGCUACAGGCUUAACACAUGCAAGUCGAGGGGAAACGAUAGAGAAAGCUUGCUUUUUCUAGGCGUCGACCGGCGCACGGGUGAGUAACGCGUAUCCAACCUGCCCACCACUUGGGGAUAACCUUGCGAAAGUAAGACUAAUACCCAAUGACGUCUCUAGAAGACAUCUGAAAGGGAUUAAAGAUUUAUCGGUGAUGGAUGGGGAUGCGUCUGAUUAGCUUGUUGGCGGGGUAACGGCCCACCAAGGCAACGAUCAGUAGGGGUUCUGAGAGGAAGGUCCCCCACAUUGGAACUGAGACACGGUCCAAACUCCUACGGGAGGCAGCAGUGAGGAAUAUUGGUCAAUGGGCGAGAGCCUGAACCAGCCAAGUAGCGUGCAGGAUGACGGCCCUAUGGGUUGUAAACUGCUUUUAUAAGGGAAUAAAGUGAGUCUCGUGAGGCUUUUUGCAUGUACCUUAUGAAUAAGGACCGGCUAAUUCCGUGCCAGCAGCCGCGGUAAUACGGAAGGUCCGGGCGUUAUCCGGAUUUAUUGGGUUUAAAGGGAGCGUAGGCCGGAGAUUAAGCGUGUUGUGAAAUGUAGAUGCUCAACGUCUGCACUGCAGCGCGAACUGGUUUCCUUGAGUACGCACAAAGUGGGCGGAAUUCGUGGUGUAGCGGUGAAAUGCUUAGAUAUCACGAAGAACUCCGAUUG